ACAAAGGCUCUUUUAAGAGCCACCUCACUCCUCACUAAAGAACUCAU
Molecule: non-coding RNA, 47 nt
Organism: Larimichthys crocea (large yellow croaker)
Lineage: Eukaryota; Metazoa; Chordata; Actinopteri; Sciaenidae
Source: Rfam